CGAGCGAACAGAUGAGGAGAGCUUGCUCCUCUGACGUUAGCGGCGGACGGGUGAGUAACACGUGGAUAACCUACCUAUAAGACUGGGAUAACUUCGGGAAACCGGAGCUAAUACCGGAUAAUAUAUUGAACCGCAUGGUUCAAAAGUGAAAGACGGUCUUGCUGUCACUUAUAGAUGGAUCCGCGCUGCAUUAGCUAGUUGGUAAGGUAACGGCUUACCAAGGCAACGAUGCAUAGCCGACCUGAGAGGGUGAUCGGCCACACUGGAACUGAGACACGGUCCAGACUCCUACGGGAGGCAGCAGUAGGGAAUCUUCCGCAAUGGGCGAAAGCCUGACGGAGCAACGCCGCGUGAGUGAUGAAGGUCUUCGGAUCGUAAAACUCUGUUAUUAGGGAAGAACAUAUGUGUAAGUAACUGUGCACAUCUUGACGGUACCUAAUCAGAAAGCCACGGCUAACUACGUGCCAGCAGCCGCGGUAAUACGUAGGUGGCAAGCGUUAUCCGGAAUUAUUGGGCGUAAAGCGCGCGUAGGCGGUUUUUUAAGUCUGAUGUGAAAGCCCACGGCUCAACCGUGGAGGGUCAUUGGAAACUGGAAAACUUGAGUGCAGAAGAGGAAAGUGGAAUUCCAUGUGUAGCGGUGAAAUGCGCAGAGAUAUGGAGGAACACCAGUGGCGAAGGCGACUUUCUGGUCUGUAACUGACGCUGAUGUGCGAAAGCGUGGGGAUC
RNAcentral lists this ribosomal RNA (726 nucleotides) under uncultured Staphylococcus sp. Its description in RNAcentral is "bacterial SSU rRNA". It matches the Rfam family "Bacterial small subunit ribosomal RNA", at positions 63 to 769 of the family's 1533-position model. Lineage: Bacteria; Bacillati; Bacillota; Bacilli; Caryophanales; Staphylococcaceae. The record is from RNAcentral.